GGGUUGUGAGGUUAAGCGACUAAGCGUACACGGUGGAUGCCCUGGCAGUCAGAGGCGAUGAAGGGCGUGCUAAUCUGCGAUAAGCGCCGGUAAGGUGAUAUGAACCGUUAUAACCGGCGAUACCCGAAUGGGGAAACCCAGUGUGAUUCGUCACACUAUCAUUAACUGAAUCCAUAGGUUAAUGAGGCGAACCGGGGGAACUGAAACAUCUAAGUACCCCGAGGAAAAGAAAUCAACCGAGAUUCCCCCAGUAGCGGCGAGCGAACGGGGAGGAGCCCAGAGCCUGAAUCAGCAUGUGUGUUAGUGGAAGCGUCUGGAAAGGCGCGCGAUACAGGGUGACAGCCCCGUACACAAAAGCGCAUGUGCUGUGAGCUCGAUGAGUAGGGCGGGACACGUGGUAUCCUGUCUGAAUAUGGGGGGACCAUCCUCCAAGGCUAAAUACUCCUGACUGACCGAUAGUGAACCAGUACCGUGAGGGAAAGGCGAAAAGAACCCCGGCGAGGGGAGUGAAAAAGAACCUGAAACCGUGUACGUACAAGCAGUGGGAGCCCCACCACUAAGCCAGUGGUGAACUCCACAUCCGCAUCCUUUGCUGAGGAUACGGUUAACGGAGCGAAAGCGACGUUCAACCGCAAAACAAGCAGAGGGGGCUUAGUGGUGGGGUGACUGCGUACCUUUUGUAUAAUGGGUCAGCGACUUAUAUUCUGUAGCAAGGUUAACCGAAUAGGGGAGCCGGAGGGAAACCGAGUCUUAAUUGGGCGUUAAGUUGCAGGGUAUAGACCCGAAACCCGGUGAUCUAGCCAUGGGCAGGUUGAAGGUUGGGUAACACUAACUGGAGGACCGAACCGACUAAUGUUGAAAAAUUAGCGGAUGACCUGUGGCUGGGGGUGAAAGGCCAAUCAAACCGGGAGAUAGCUGGUUCUCCCCGAAAGCUAUUUAGGUAGCGCCUCGUGAAUUCAUCUCCGGGGGUAGAGCACUGUUUCGGCUAGGGGGCCAUCCCGGCUUACCAACCCGAUGCAAACUGCGAAUACCGGAGAAUGUUAUCACGGGAGACACACGGCGGGUGCUAACGUCCGUCGUGAAGAGGGAAACAACCCAGACCGCCAGCUAAGGUCCCAAAGUCAUGGUUAAGUGGGAAACGAUGUGGGAAGGCCCAGACAGCCAGGAUGUUGGCUUAGAAGCAGCCAUCAUUUAAAGAAAGCGUAAUAGCUCACUGGUCGAGUCGGCCUGCGCGGAAGAUGUAACGGGGCUAAACCAUGCACCGAAGCUGCGGCAGCGAACGUAUCACUUAAAGCGAUUCAGCGGGUUACGAUUGACGGAGCGAAGCGACGUCAAAGCGUAUACAAAGUCGAGUCGGUUUAAGGAUACGUUCGUUGGGUAGGGGAGCGUUCUGUAAGCCCGUGAAGGUGGCCUGUGAGGGUUGCUGGAGGUAUCAGAAGUGCGAAUGCUGACAUAAGUAACGAUAAAGCGGGUGAAAAGCCCGCUCGCCGGAAGACCAAGGGUUCCUGUCCAACGUUAAUCGGGGCAGGGUGAGUCGACCCCUAAGGCGAGGCCGAAAGGCGUAGUCGAUGGGAAACGGGUUAAUAUUCCCGUACUUGGUGUUACUGCGAAGGGGGGACGGAGAAGGCUAUGUUGGCCGGGCGACGGUUGUCCCGGUUUAAGCGUGUAGGUGUGUGUUCCAGGUAAAUCCGGUUCACUUUAACACUGAGGCGUGACGACGAGGCACUACGGUGCUGAAGCAACAAAUGCCCUGCUUCCAGGAAAAGCCUCUAAGCAUCAGGUAACACGAAAUCGUACCCCAAACCGACACAGGUGGUCAGGUAGAGAAUACCAAGGCGCUUGAGAGAACUCGGGUGAAGGAACUAGGCAAAAUGGUGCCGUAACUUCGGGAGAAGGCACGCUGACACGUAGGUGAAGUGAUUUACUCAUGGAGCUGAAGUCAGUCGAAGAUACCAGCUGGCUGCAACUGUUUAUUAAAAACACAGCACUGUGCAAACACGAAAGUGGACGUAUACGGUGUGACGCCUGCCCGGUGCCGGAAGGUUAAUUGAUGGGGUCAGCGCAAGCGAAGCUCCUGAUCGAAGCCCCGGUAAACGGCGGCCGUAACUAUAACGGUCCUAAGGUAGCGAAAUUCCUUGUCGGGUAAGUUCCGACCUGCACGAAUGGCGUAAUGAUGGCCAGGCUGUCUCCACCCGAGACUCAGUGAAAUUGAACUCGCUGUGAAGAUGCAGUGUACCCGCGGCAAGACGGAAAGACCCCGUGAACCUUUACUAUAGCUUGACACUGAACAUUGAGCCUUGAUGUGUAGGAUAGGUGGGAGGCUUUGAAGUGUGGACGCCAGUCUGCAUGGAGCCGACCUUGAAAUACCACCCUUUAAUGUUUGAUGUUCUAACGUGGACCCGUAAUCCGGGUUGCGGACAGUGUCUGGUGGGUAGUUUGACUGGGGCGGUCUCCUCCUAAAGAGUAACGGAGGAGCACGAAGGUUGGCUAAUCCUGGUCGGACAUCAGGAGGUUAGUGCAAUGGCAUAAGCCAGCUUGACUGCGAGCGUGACGGCGCGAGCAGGUGCGAAAGCAGGUCAUAGUGAUCCGGUGGUUCUGAAUGGAAGGGCCAUCGCUCAACGGAUAAAAGGUACUCCGGGGAUAACAGGCUGAUACCGCCCAAGAGUUCAUAUCGACGGCGGUGUUUGGCACCUCGAUGUCGGCUCAUCACAUCCUGGGGCUGAAGUAGGUCCCAAGGGUAUGGCUGUUCGCCAUUUAAAGUGGUACGCGAGCUGGGUUUAGAACGUCGUGAGACAGUUCGGUCCCUAUCUGCCGUGGGCGCUGGAGAACUGAGGGGGGCUGCUCCUAGUACGAGAGGACCGGAGUGGACGCAUCACUGGUGUUCGGGUUGUCAUGCCAAUGGCACUGCCCGGUAGCUAAAUGCGGAAGAGAUAAGUGCUGAAAGCAUCUAAGCACGAAACUUGCCCCGAGAUGAGUUCUCCCUGAGACUUAGAGUCUCCUGA
RNAcentral lists this ribosomal RNA (3002 nucleotides) under Salmonella enterica subsp. enterica serovar Typhimurium. Its description in RNAcentral is "bacterial LSU rRNA". It matches the Rfam family "Bacterial large subunit ribosomal RNA". The record is from RNAcentral. Lineage: Bacteria; Pseudomonadati; Pseudomonadota; Gammaproteobacteria; Enterobacterales; Enterobacteriaceae.